CUACGCCUACGGGAGGCAGCAGUGGGGAAUAUUGCACAAUGGGGGAAACCCUGAUGCAGCGACGCCGCGUGAGUGAUGAAGUAUUUCGGUAUGUAAAGCUCUAUCAGCAGGGAAGAUAAUGACGGUACCUGACUAAGAAGCUCCGGCUAAAUACGUGCCAGCAGCCGCGGUAAUACGUAUGGAGCAAGCGUUAUCCGGAUUUACUGGGUGUAAAGGGAGCGUAGACGGCAUGGCAAGUCUGAUGUGAAAACCCGGGGCUCAACCCCGGGACUGCAUUGGAAACUGUCAGGCUAGAGUGUCGGAGG
This 305-nucleotide ribosomal RNA is filed under the name uncultured bacterium. RNAcentral describes it as "bacterial SSU rRNA". It matches the Rfam family "Bacterial small subunit ribosomal RNA", at positions 333 to 655 of the family's 1533-position model. The record is from RNAcentral.